Molecule: long non-coding RNA, 351 nt
Organism: Alnus glutinosa
Lineage: Eukaryota; Viridiplantae; Streptophyta; Magnoliopsida; Fagales; Betulaceae
Exons: 3
Source: RefSeq, a predicted model, not a curated record
AAUCCUUGAGAUGAUAUACAUAAGUAAGUUUUCUAUCAUGAGAAUUCAAUACGAUCUAAUUCUAAGAUACCUCAAUUAAGUCUAGAGGUUUAUAGAGCUAUUUAUAUUUAUAGACUUUUAAAAUUAUUCAAAUCACCUUUUUGAUUAAUUGAUAAAUUUAUUUAUUUAUUUAUUUUCAUGUUGUAGUGAUUGUGUUCAUAUUAGAAGUACCAGCGGGCUACGUAUUAUAUAUUUUAGAUCAACUACAACGACGACUAGGACUACCACCACUACCACCAGUAGAACUAUAUGGGCUAUUUGGCAGAGAAAAUUUACAUACUCCUCCAAUCAAUUUACUGACGUACAUGACCC